RNAcentral lists this ribosomal RNA (459 nucleotides) under uncultured bacterium. RNAcentral's name for it is "partial 16S ribosomal RNA". It matches the Rfam family "Bacterial small subunit ribosomal RNA", at positions 338 to 795 of the family's 1533-position model. The record is from RNAcentral.
CCUACGGGUGGCAGCAGUGAGGAAUAUUGGUCAAUGGUCGGGAGACUGAACCAGCCAAGUCGCGUGAGGGAGGACGAUACUGUGUAUUGUAAACCUCUUUUGUCAGGGAACAAAGGUGGGGACGUGUCCCCGGAUGAGUGUACCUGAAGAAAAAGCAUCGGCUAACUCCGUGCCAGCAGCCGCGGUAAUACGGAGGAUGCGAGCGUUAUCCGGAUUUAUUGGGUUUAAAGGGUGCGCAGGCGGUCUGUUAAGUCAGCGGUAAAAGCGGGGGGCUCAACCCCGGCCCGCCGUUGAAACUGGCAGUCUCGAGUUGGAGAGAAGUAUGCGGAAUGCGCGGUGUAGCGGUGAAAUGCAUAGAUAUCGCGCAGAACUCCGAUUGCGAAGGCAGCAUGCCGGCUCCACACUGACGCUGAGGCACGAAAGCGUGGGUAUCGAACAGGAUUAGAUACCCCUGUAGUC